Long non-coding RNA from Haplochromis burtoni (Burton's mouthbrooder), 279 nucleotides. RefSeq lists it as uncharacterized. Lineage: Eukaryota; Metazoa; Chordata; Actinopteri; Cichliformes; Cichlidae. The transcript is spliced from 3 exons. The record is from RefSeq and is a predicted model, not a curated record.
UUUACAUUUCAUAGGUCGGUGAAAUUCAAAGUGAAUGGUUAAAACAACUGUACAAGACUAUCCAGAGCUACAAGCCACAGUUCAUUGCCCUGCACUUCCAGGAGGUUGGAGGAAAGGACUACAUGUUAAACAUGGGCCAUGCAGAAAACUUCUUCUGGACCCUCGAGUCCAGUGAAGAAAUGAAAGACUUUGACAGGUCUUGCAUUUAUGUGGACAACCAGUUCAAAGUAGAAGAUAGCUUCACGGUAAGAAACACAAAAACGUCUCAUACAGAGUAGU